GGGCUCGUGAGGUAGUCUGGAUAUCCUUCCGGCCUUCGGAGCCGGAUACCGGGGUUCGAAUCCCCGCGAGUCCG
Molecule: transfer RNA, 74 nt
Filed under: Thermoplasmata archaeon
Lineage: Archaea; Methanobacteriati; Thermoplasmatota; Thermoplasmata
Description: tRNA-Arg
Rfam family: tRNA
About the family: Transfer RNA (tRNA) molecules are approximately 80 nucleotides in length. Their secondary structure includes four short double-helical elements and three loops (D, anti-codon, and T loops). Further hydrogen bonds mediate the characteristic L-shaped molecular structure. tRNAs have two regions of fundamental functional importance: the anti-codon, which is responsible for specific mRNA codon recognition, and the 3' end, to which the tRNAs corresponding amino acid is attached (by aminoacyl-tRNA synthetases). tRNAs cope with the degeneracy of the genetic code in two manners: having more than one tRNA (with a specific anti-codon) for a particular amino acid; and 'wobble' base-pairing, i.e. permitting non-standard base-pairing at the 3rd anti-codon position.
Source: RNAcentral